AGAUGUGAGGGCGAUCUGGCUAUGACAUCUGUCACCCCAUUGAUCGUCAGAGUUGAUUUGGCUGAUCUGGCUGGCUAGGCGGGUGUCCCCUUCCUCCCUCACCACUCCAUGGGCGUCCCUCUCGAAGCUGCGGGCUCUGUCAAAGAAGAGGACGGCCUUCCCGGAAUAGAGACGGACCGGUCUUCUGUCGGUCAAGUGUGUAUGAGUAGCUGCGCUCCCCUGCUAGAACCUCCAAACAAUCUCUCAAGAAUUCGAGAAACUACUGUUAGUCUUUUAUCCCAGUUGAGGAUAUAAUGGUUCUG
Unclassified non-coding RNA from Erinaceus europaeus (western European hedgehog), 302 nucleotides. Its record names the gene 7SK. It matches the Rfam family "7SK RNA". From Rfam's summary of the family: 7SK was discovered as an abundant small nuclear RNA in the mid-70s but a possible function has only recently been suggested. Two independent studies have found that 7SK RNA binds the CDK9/cyclin T complex (known as elongation factor P-TEFb). The record is from Ensembl. NCBI's taxonomy places the organism in Eukaryota, Metazoa, Chordata, Mammalia, Eulipotyphla, Erinaceidae.